RNAcentral lists this long non-coding RNA (888 nucleotides) under Cyanistes caeruleus (blue tit). Its description in RNAcentral is "lncRNA (ENSCCEG00000001962.1)". The record is from RNAcentral. Lineage: Eukaryota; Metazoa; Chordata; Aves; Passeriformes; Paridae.
CUCAGAUUUUGCCACUGACCUGGGUUUGCUAAUAUUCCCCCCAGUAUUCCUCCCACGCCUUCUCUCCCUUUGUACUGAAGGCAGGCUUUGAACUGGUGUUUUAUUCUGUGAUUUUUAUGCAGAAAAGGGCUUUGGGUUUUCCCCCUUUCCUUUCUAUUUUUUCUGAUAGUUGAUUUGAGUUGGUUCCAACCUAACUUUGUACCAAAGCUUUUCUCUCUGUCCUGAAGGGCUGAAGGCAUAAUCACUGCUUUCUCAUUUAAAUUCUAAAAUUACCUUUCAAAUCUUACCUUUGCAUUUAUUUUGUGAAAAUCUUUUCUGGCCUUUUAAGGGAUGAGCAAACACAGUUUCAGCAGUGCAGGAGUGGAAAAAGGCCAGAAAUUGCUCCCUGCCCUCUUGACACAGAAUUUGCAUAAUUCCAGACCAUGGCAUUGCAGCCAGUCUCCCAGGGAAUGGCACACAUGUCCUGUUUGCUGGGUGUUUUGGGGGAGACACAAUAAGGAAGGGUUUUCUGCUGAGGAGGAGAUAAGCUCACAAGACCUGAGGAUGAGAACAUUUAAUUACCAUUCUGCUAUUGCUCAGCAUGACCUGGUUAACCUUCAUUCCCUUCCUCAAAGGUGACUGCAGGCUCCUGAAUCCAUUGAUAUAAGAUAAAUUCCUGUCAGAGGUCCUAAAUGUAUUCAAGAAGUCUGGAAGGGAACCUUUGCAGCUACUCCUGGGAGGUGUAGGCUGGUGGUUUUUGAAGCAAUGGGAAAUGACAGUCAGAAGCCAGCUCAAAACAAGUGGUUUCAGUACAGGAGUUAAUGUUCCAGUGAGUCCAGGCUGAUUAGCUGCCAGCUAAUCAAUAAUCAAAUUAUUUACCUGCAAAUAAAAAAUUUCUGAGCCCCCCCA